RNAcentral lists this long non-coding RNA (964 nucleotides) under Homo sapiens (human). RNAcentral describes it as "HSALNT0309968". Lineage: Eukaryota; Metazoa; Chordata; Mammalia; Primates; Hominidae. The record is from RNAcentral.
AGGGCUUGGGGGAGGCCAAAGGCGACCUCUGAGCUCUUGUCCUUACCCUGGGAGAGUAUGGAACUCAGAGAAAUCAUCUGACCCGGGUAAUGUAUGACAACAAGCAGGAAAGCUUUGCUUGAGAAAAAAAAUGUCUUGUUUUAAAUGCUGAGGCUUUGGGACCACAGUUUCAUGAUGAACAAACAUUCACUGAACCCCCUACCUUAUGCCAGAGGCUUUUCCAUAAUUAUCUCCUUUAAUUGUCACAAAAAAACUCGGCAAGUGUCAGAGUUAUUGCCAUGCUACAGAAGAAACAUCGAGACUUAGAGAGGUGGGACAGCUUUGCCGAGACCACACUGAAGAGCGUGGCUCACUCUGUGGCAUUGCAGACAAUACAAGGAAAGAUGGUUUAACCUUAGGAGAAUUGAAUCCCAGGGGCAGCACUGUGACUCAGAAACCAAAAGGGACCAUUUCUUAUUUGAAAUCAGCCAUGCAACUUCACCGGUUUUACAAUGACUCUAGCCACCUCUUCCUUAGCAGACACUUCCGGGGCUACUACUGCUUGUUAUCUGGGUCCUUUCCCUUUUGACCACAGAUCCUCCUGGAAUCUCCAGUGUGGCUGGAAUGGCUUUAACCCCAAGGCCGUAUUUGGAAGCCACUUGUUUAAAAUUAAGGAGCCAGAAGCUAGAAAGAGCUCCUGUCUCUGAUUCACCACCUAGGGGAGCACUAUCUAACUAUCAGAAAUUUUUAUCAGCAGGAAAUAAACUUCUAUUGUGUUAAGCCUCCAAGAUUCCAGGGUUUAUCCAUUAAAAAACAACCAAAAUACUAACAAAUAGAUUAUUCAUUCAUGAUGGUAACAUUUGCCAUACAUUGACUUAAUACCAAACACUGCAUAAGUAGUAUAUCAUUUAAUUGUCUUAUCAGCUGCAUGAAGUAGGUAUCAUUCUCCUUAUUUUAUAGAUAAGGAAGGAGUCUAUGUUUCACA